This 1916-nucleotide ribosomal RNA is filed under the name Makinoa crispata. Its description in RNAcentral is "SSU rRNA". It matches the Rfam family "Bacterial small subunit ribosomal RNA". Lineage: Eukaryota; Viridiplantae; Streptophyta; Jungermanniopsida; Fossombroniales; Makinoaceae. The record is from RNAcentral.
AUCAUACUCAAAAAAAAGAGUUUGAUCCUGGCUCAGAAUGAACGCUAGCGAUAUGCUUAACACAUGCAAGUCGAACGUUGCUUUCGUUGUUACGUGUUGAAGGUCGCAUUCGGAGGAGAAAACCUUUCUUCUUCUCUGAGCUGCUCAACCCUUAGUCAGUUGAGCCUGCGGCCUCCGAUCAACCGUGGGAACCGUUGAAAACAAAGUGGCGAACGGGCGAGUAAUAUGUGGGAAUCUGCCAAACAGUUUGGGCCAAAUCCCGAAUAAACGAAAGCUAAAAGGCGCUGUUUGAUGAGCCCACAAAGCAUCAGGUAGUUGGUUAGGUAAAGGCUGACCAAGCCAACGACGCUUAGCGGGUCUGUUAGGACGAUCCGCCGCACUGGGACUGAGACACGGCCCAGACUCCCACGGGAGGCUGCAGUGGGGAAUCUUGGACAAUGGGCGAAAGCCUGAUCCAGCAAUAUGGCGUGAGUGAGGAAGGGCAAUGCAGCUUGUAAAGCUCUUUCGUCGAGUAUGCGAUUAUGACAAGACUCGAAGAAGAAGCCCCGGCUAACUCCGUGCCAGCAGCCGCGGUAAGACGGGGGGGGCAAGUGUUAUUCGGAAUGACUAGGCGUAAAGGGCACGUAGGCGGUGAAUCCAGUUGGAAGUGAAAGUCGCCAGCUCAACUGGCGGAAUGCUUUCAAAACCAAUUCACUAGAGUAAGGCAUAGAGGAAAGCGGAAUUUCGUGUGUAGCGAUAAAAUGCAAAAAUAUACGAAGGAACGCCGAAAGCGAAGGCAGCUUUCUGGUUCUUUAACCGACGCUAAAGUGCGAAAGCAUGGGGAGCAAACAGGAUUAGAUACCCUGGUAGUCCAUGCUGUAAACGAUGAGUGUUCGUUCUUGGUCUACUGAUAUCGCACUCUUUCGGUCUAACUUAAGCUCGGCUUAAUGCUUAAAUUACUGCAAAGGUAGUGUGACUCGAUUGUUUCCUUCAAGUUCCAACAAUCGUGAAAAAUAUGUGAUGAUCAGGGGCUGAGCUAACGCGUUAAACACUCCGCCUGGGGAGUACGGUCGCAAGGCUGAAACUGCGCAAAACCUUACCAGCCCUUGACAUAUGAAUAAGUGUGCUUGUCCUUAACGGGAUGGUACGGAAAUUUAUACAGGUGUUGCAUGGCUGUCGUCAGCUCGUGUCUUGAGACGUUGGGUUAAGUCCUAUAACGAGCGCAACCCUCGUUUUGUGUUGCUAAGACAUGCUCUAGUUCAAUCCUUGACCACUGGAGACUGACGAAGACUACGCCGUGAAAAUGGAGGAUACCAACGAGCUGAGUUUUUGCAAACGCCGUGUGGCUCAUUCCGAAAAGAAUAUGACCAUACAAAGUUUUAAUACGGUACUCCCCGACGAACGAAGCUCUCGGAGCAUUGUACACUUCACACUGAGGGACUCAGUCUUAGUCAAAAUGAUUGACACUCCAAGCCAUGUGCUGCACUCACAAAAAACUGCCAGUGAUAUACUGGAGGAAGGUGGGGAUGACGUCAAGUCCGCAUGGCCCUUAUGGGCUGGGCUACACACGUGCUACAAUGGCAAUUACAAUUGGAAGCAAUGCUGUAAGGCGGAGCGAAUCCAGAAAGAUUGCCUAAGUUCGGAUUGUUCUCUGCAACUCGAGAACAUGAAGUUGGAAUCGCUAGUAAUCGCGGAUCAGCAUGCCGCGGUGAAUAAGUACUCGGGCCCUGUACAAACUGCCCGUCAAACCAUGGGAAUUGGUUUCGCCCGAAGCAGCCGACCACGGAUCACCCAUUACUCGGGGUGUUCCACGCCGUUGUUGAGUGUGGUCUACCAGAGGCAUUGGUGAUCUUAUGUAGGAGACCAAGGUUGGGCCAUUGACUGAGGUUAAGUCGUAACAAGGUAGCCGCAGGGGAACCUGUGGCUGGAUUGACUCC